This 65-nucleotide transfer RNA is filed under the name Tachypleus gigas (Indo-Pacific horseshoe crab). RNAcentral describes it as "tRNA-Glu". The record is from RNAcentral. Lineage: Eukaryota; Metazoa; Arthropoda; Merostomata; Xiphosura; Limulidae.
AUUUCUAUGGUGUAAACCAACACUUAAUAUUUUCAUUAUUAAAAUGGGGAUUUCCCCUAGAAAUA